UACGAAGGGGGCUAGCGUUGCUCGGAAUCACUGGGCGUAAAGGGCGCGUAGGCGGCCGAUUAAGUCGGGGGGUGAAAGCCUGUGGCUCAACCACAGAAUUGCCUCGAUACUGGUUGGCUUGAGACCGGAAGAGGACAGCGGAACUGCGAGUGUAGAGGUGAAAUUCGUAGAUAUUCGCAAGAACACCAGUGGCGAAGGCGGCUGUCUGGUCCGGUUCUGACGCUGAGGCGCGAAAGCGUGGGGAGCAACAGG
This 252-nucleotide ribosomal RNA is filed under the name uncultured bacterium. RNAcentral's name for it is "partial 16S ribosomal RNA". It matches the Rfam family "Bacterial small subunit ribosomal RNA", at positions 524 to 775 of the family's 1533-position model. The record is from RNAcentral.